CUUCAACGUGUGGAGGAUCAAAGGCAAUCCAUCCAUUUGAAGGAGCAAAAUGAUGUUUUCAGUUGUCGCAGCAUCACUUGAGCAUUCCAAGACAAGGGCAAAACUCUGGCUUUUGUCUUGCCCAUUUUGGAAUCUCUGACGAAUGGGCCUGCAAAAACCUCAAGGAAGACAGGAUGUGGUAGGCCACCAAGUGUUUUGGAGCUUUUACCUACUAGGGAAUUGGCCAAGCAGGUGUUUCCUGAUUUUGAAGUUUAUGGUGGAGGAGUGGGCUUAACAUCUUGUUGUUUGUAUGGUGGAGCUCCUUAUCAUGCUCAGGAAAACCGAUUGAGGAGACAGGUUGAUAUAGUGAUUGGAAAACCUGGCCGUGUGAAAGUAAUUCAUUGAAUUGGAAGCUUAUUUGGUUUUCUUUCACCCGCUGGGAAUAAUGCAUGUUCACAGUUGUUACAUCUUGUGGCAGGAUCACAUUGAGAGGGAAAAUAUUGACUUGAGCUCUUUAACCUUCCGUGUCCUUGAUGAGGCGGAUGAAAUGCUAAGGAUGGAUUUUUUUGAAGAUGUGGAGCCAAUUCUUGGCGUGUGUGUACUAAUUUUUUUCACUAUGGAGUUGGUGGAAAUAUGCUUUACUUAUCUAUUGCAAUUACAAUUAUUGUUAGUGAUGUUAUAUUUUGAAAUUUGACAAUAGGUCUUUCAGUUUCAGCAUCAUGCAGCUGCUUAGAACUUUUUAAAAAAGAGAUUUUUGAAUUUUUUUUUAAGAGCAAGAUCUUUAUUUUCUUUUUGCCUUUUAAAUGCUCUACUAUAUGUAACAUAUCUCUUAUUGUGCAUACAUUAAGAGGGGCUCAAACCAAUAUUGCCAUUCCUCUGCUUGAGGCUUGCUUGAGGCUUGUCUGAGUAGGUUUACGUAAGGCAUUAUCUAGGCUACAGUUUGAAAAUCGAUAAUAACAUGAGAUAUUUGGAGAAUUUUUGUCUCACUUAUGUGAUUUUUUUUUAUCUAACCACAUUGCUGAUAGAUGUGGAUAUACUUAUCCUUCAAUUCUUCUGGUUCUUGUAGGCAAGGUGAAGGAUACAGGUAAAGUUCAGACGCUGCUCUUUAGCUUUACUUUACCAGAAUAGGUGAAAGGUGUAUGUAACUUAAUCUGGCAAAAUUGUUUUGUUGUUUUGAAUUUGUAUCUUGGUUGUCAAUGUUUGGAGAAUCAGAGUGUCGCGAUUGGAGAAUCACAGGAAAGCAGGGUUGUCAUGACAGAAAUAGAAGGUUUUGUUUCAGGCCUUGAGGUUGAUGAAGGUAUACAUUCAAUUAAUUCUGUGUUGGCCUGGACAAUUUGCGAUCAUAUUUUCUUUCUGAACUGUGGAACCCUUAUUUUGUUCUCUAGAUUUUUCAGAUUACUGCCUUUUGCUGAUUUGGUUUAGAAUCCUGGUAUUGUUUGGAUGGUCAAUGAGCAACAUUUCUUGUUCUUUCACUGUAUGCAUACUGAAAGAUUGUUUGUAAGUGACUUAUUUUAGAAUUUCCCUUCUGUGUAUGUGCGAACAAGCAGUGCACUUGAUGCGCCUCAUUGAACAACAUCCUAGACAACUUGCAAACAAGCGAACUUUUCGCAUACAACUUGCAGUCUGUUGCUCAUGCAGUCACAGUAGCUUGUUUAUUUGGGAUGCAUUUUAACUUCCGAACUAAAUUCCUAAUUGCUAGUCGAGGGGAUUGCUAUCUUGAAGAGUGGUGGACUUAUUCAACUGU
This is a long non-coding RNA of Eucalyptus grandis, 1723 nucleotides long. RefSeq lists it as uncharacterized. The transcript has 4 exons. The record is from RefSeq and is a predicted model, not a curated record. NCBI's taxonomy places the organism in Eukaryota, Viridiplantae, Streptophyta, Magnoliopsida, Myrtales, Myrtaceae.